Molecule: ribosomal RNA, 446 nt
Filed under: uncultured bacterium
Lineage: Bacteria
Description: SSU rRNA
Rfam family: Bacterial small subunit ribosomal RNA
Source: RNAcentral
AGAGCGAACGCUGGCGGCAGGCUUAACACAUGCAAGUCGAGCGGGCGUAGCAAUACGUCAGCGGCAGACGGGUGAGUAACGCGUGGGAACGUACCUUUGGUUCGGAACAACACAGGGAAACUUGUGCUAAUACCGGAUAAGCCCUUACGGGGAAAGAUUUAUCGCCGAAAGAUCGGCCCGCGUCUGAUUAGCUAGUUGGUGAGGUAAUGGCUCACCAAGGCGACGAUCAGUAGCUGGUCUGAGAGGAUGAUCAGCCACAUUGGGACUGAGACACGGCCCAAACUCCUACGGGAGGCAGCAGUGGGGAAUAUUGGACAAUGGGCGCAAGCCUGAUCCAGCCAUGCCGCGUGAGUGAUGAAGGCCCUAGGGUUGUAAAGCUCUUUGUGCGGGAAGAUAAUGACGGUACCGCAAGAAUAAGCCCCGGCUAACUUCGUGCCAGCAGCCGC